This is a non-coding RNA of Pelobates cultripes (western spadefoot toad), 334 nucleotides long. The record is from the annotation of a GenBank genome assembly. NCBI's taxonomy places the organism in Eukaryota, Metazoa, Chordata, Amphibia, Anura, Pelobatidae.
ACUCGAGUCACUGUCUGUAUUAUGGCAACUUAGAGAGCCGCGACCAUCAGAGCCAUGGCAACGAUCCGCGCGGCAACCAGACCGCGAGACUUACAGUGGAGCUGACCGGAACGGAGGAGAAGGGAGCUGACAGGAGCUGCAGGAAAGGUAAGUAAAUGCCUCCUGCCGGCUCCCCUCCUACACAGCCCAUGCCACUGGACCACCAGGGAUUAAGAUAGCCCCCCUCCCUGACCAGUUAACAAGCAGGGAGGGGGGGACAAAAACAAUAAAAAAAAUAAAAAUAAUUUUAAAUAAUAAAAAUGCCCUCCCCCCACCCAGUUCACACACACUACAC